AANAAAACAAAUGAUUUCGACUCAUUA
Molecule: transfer RNA, 27 nt
Filed under: Crocuta crocuta (spotted hyena)
Lineage: Eukaryota; Metazoa; Chordata; Mammalia; Carnivora; Hyaenidae
Description: partial tRNA-Arg
Source: RNAcentral